UGGGGUGAAGUCGUACCAAGGUAGCCGUAUCGGAAGGGUGCGGCUGGAUCACCUCCUUUCU
Molecule: ribosomal RNA, 61 nt
Filed under: Lactobacillus sp. rennanqilyf13
Lineage: Bacteria; Bacillati; Bacillota; Bacilli; Lactobacillales; Lactobacillaceae
Description: partial 16S ribosomal RNA
Source: RNAcentral